GUGCUCGCUUCAGCAGCACAUAUACUAAAAUUGGAACAAUGCAGAGAUGAGCAUGGCCCCUUCACAAGGAUGGCACGCAAAUCCGUGAAGCGUUCCAUAUUUUU
Small nuclear RNA from Echinops telfairi (small Madagascar hedgehog), 104 nucleotides. The record is from RefSeq and is a predicted model, not a curated record. Lineage: Eukaryota; Metazoa; Chordata; Mammalia; Afrosoricida; Tenrecidae.